This 253-nucleotide ribosomal RNA is filed under the name uncultured bacterium. RNAcentral describes it as "partial 16S ribosomal RNA". It matches the Rfam family "Bacterial small subunit ribosomal RNA", at positions 524 to 776 of the family's 1533-position model. The record is from RNAcentral.
UACAGAGGUGGCAAGCGUUGUUCGGAAUUACUGGGCGUAAAGGGCGCGUAGGCGGCCUCGUAAGUCCCGUGUGAAAGCCCCCGGCUCAACUGGGGAAUUGCACGGGAAACUGCGGGGCUUGAGUUCGGGAGAGGGAAGCGGAAUUCCGGGUGUAGCGGUGAAAUGCGUAGAUAUCCGGAGGAACACCAGUGGCGAAGGCGGCGUUCUGGACUGCAACUGACACUGAAAAACGAAAGCCAGGGGAGCAAACGGG